GGAUGAACGCUGGCGGCGUGCCUAAUACAUGCAAGUCGAGCGAACUGAUUAGAAGCUUGCUUCUAUGACGUUAGCGGCGGACGGGUGAGUAACACGUGGGCAACCUGCCUGUAAGACUGGGAUAACUUCGGGAAACCGAAGCUAAUACCGGAUAGGAUCUUCUCCUUCAUGGGAGAUGAUUGAAAGAUGGUUUCGGCUAUCACUUACAGAUGGGCCCGCGGUGCAUUAGCUAGUUGGUGAGGUAACGGCUCACCAAGGCAACGAUGCAUAGCCGACCUGAGAGGGUGAUCGGCCACACUGGGACUGAGACACGGCCCAGACUCCUACGGGAGGCAGCAGUAGGGAAUCUUCCGCAAUGGACGAAAGUCUGACGGAGCAACGCCGCGUGAGUGAUGAAGGCUUUCGGGUCGUAAAACUCUGUUGUUAGGGAAGAACAAGUACGAGAGUAACUGCUCGUACCUGACGGUACC
Molecule: ribosomal RNA, 470 nt
Filed under: soil bacterium 2V-13
Lineage: Bacteria
Description: bacterial SSU rRNA
Rfam family: Bacterial small subunit ribosomal RNA
Source: RNAcentral